GAUGAACGCUGACAGAAUGCUUAACACAUGCAAGUCGAUGGGGAAGUGGUGCUUGCACCCUGGCCACCAUGGCGGACGGGUGAGUAACGCGUAAGGGACUUACCUGCAGGACUGGGAUAACAGGGGGAAACUCCUGACAAGACCGGAUAAUGUCAUGGAGCUGCAUGGCUUUAUGAUGAAAGGAGACGCCUGCGGAGAGCCUUGCGUCCUAUUAGCUAGUUGGUGAGGUAAUGGCUCACCAAGGCGAAGAUAGGUAGCCGGCCUGAGAGGGUGGACGGCCACAAGGGGACUGAGAUACGGCCCUUACUCCUACGGGAGGCAGCAGUGGGGAAUAUUGGACAAUGGGGGCAACCCUGAUCCAGCAAUUCUGUGUGCACGAAGAAGGUUUUCGGAUUGUAAAGUGCUUUCAGCAGGGAAGAAGUAAGUGACGGUACCUGCAGAAGAAGCGACGGCUAAAUACGUG
This 463-nucleotide ribosomal RNA is filed under the name uncultured bacterium. RNAcentral describes it as "partial 16S ribosomal RNA". It matches the Rfam family "Bacterial small subunit ribosomal RNA", at positions 28 to 507 of the family's 1533-position model. The record is from RNAcentral.